GGGAACACGGCCAAUAAUUGGUGGAGAGUGAAAAGAAAAAAUGGGAUCUAAUGUAAUUGGACUUCUAUAAAUAAGAAGAGAUAGUUUUGGAGAAUUUUUUUAUCAUGUGGAUUAGAAUAAUUAGGACAGUGUGUAAUGGGUGGUAGAGUUGUGAGAAAUCGUGAGCAUUGUUGCGGCUGCAUGUGGAAGUUGGGAUAUGAUUUGUAACGGUGGUGGAGACUAGUGAGACAAUGAUGGGGAUCAACAUAGUUUGUUAAUUUGGGGUUGGGAUUUGACUUAAAGGAUUGUAUUUGAAGGGAAGUUUUAGAUGGAGUUUUGUUGGAUGGAGUGUAGGAAAAGGAGACAAAAGGGCAUCUCCUUCAGGAGUGAUGGGAAUGGUGCAGACAUAUGGAGUGUAGAUAAAUCGAUGUUGGUUCUUCUCAAUAAUGAAAUAUAUCUACAGGGUGGAUUUAGUGAAGGGACUGAAAAAACGUUUGGAAAGUUUUUAAGAGACUCUCAUGUGCGACUAUUUUCUAUUGAAUUAUAUCUAGAGAAUCCAUUGACGCAGAUAGGAAAAUAAGUUCUCAAAUGGUUGGUGGAGGAAUACAAUAUAUAUGGACGAAUGGAAGGAACUGUUGUGUCAAAACUCAACCAAGUGUAAGAACUUGCAAAAACGUUUGAGACCAAGUUUGAAGGAAGCUAAAAGCAUAUUUUAAAGUGAAUACACACUAUGGACAAAAGGAAAAAUACAAAGGCGUGGUUAAAGAAAACUCAAAGCUUCAGGAUCAUCAAAGUCAACAUUCCGGAAUUAAUCAGAACAGUUUUGAUAAAAGAGUCUGAUAGAUCAAGCCUCCGAACUCUACUCAAAGGUGGGGGAAAAUUUUUAAAUCCAGAAACCCAAUUUAACACCCCCCCUUUCUUAUGUUUCUUGUACCUUCAAUUGGUAUCAAAGCCUAGUUCUGGUAUUGACUUGUUAUGUCAGACACUUAAAGAAAAAGAUUCAUUUUCUUGAAACACAAAUGGCUACAUACUUCCUUUGGACGCCAACAAUGAAAGACUUAAAAGAAGUAAGAUGAAUAAGCAUCAAAGAAAGGGUGACAAAAUCUUUGAUCCAAAAAAAAAUUCUCUUUGCUAUCUCAUAUUCAGUAUAAAAAGAUUGCAAAUAGAGACUCUUCAAAAUCUAUAUUUGAUUCUUUUUGUAUGACUAUUGAAGGAAAUGAGCAAGUUAAGGAUUCAAAGGCUUUGGCUUUAAUCCAAAAUCUUGUGAAUAAGUUUCUAAUGAAGAAGAUGAGAUUUCUCUUCACUCUAGAAGAGUAAAUCAUCUAUGGUGAAAGAAACUGAAGAUGUUUAGUGCCAAAAAAGAUUUCAUAUGCUUUACCCUCAAGUUGCCAGGCCACUUCAGAAAUGAAGGUCCCAAACUGAAAAAAGAAAAUCCUAAUGAAAAGGUUCUUCAUUGAUACAAAGAAGUUCCUGAUGACUAUAUGGGACGACUCUAAGGCCUCUGAGGAUGAUUAUAAAGAAAAACAAGUUGAUGUGUGUCAUACCCCGAUUUUGGUCCUGAAUUUUUUAUGUUUUCACUUUUGUUUAGCACGCUUAACCUGCACGGACCAAAGCCAAAAAAAAACCAAGCAUAAGGUUGAUAUUGACACAGUGGAGAAGUUUCAGACUUUAAGGAAACAGGAGCAGAAAUAUUUUGAAGACAUGGUUCAACAAUGCAAGGAUGUAGGCGCAACCCUUGUUAUUUGCCAAAGGGGUUUUGAUGAUGAAGCAAAUCAUCUCUUGAUGCAUAGGAACUUGCCAGCUGUUAGGUGGGUUGGUGGUGUUGAGUUGGAAUUGAUUGCCAUAGCAACAAGUGUAAGAAUGGUUUCCAGGUUCCAGGAAUUAACUGCAGAAAAGUUAGGAAAGGUUGGUAUCGGCAGAGAGAAAGCAUUUGGAACAGCUAAAGACCAGAUGUUAUACAUUGAGCAUUGUGCUAAUUCAAGGGCCGUGUUGUUGUGAUUUCUAUAUAUUUCAAGGAUGUUUCUUUCAGAAGGUCACAAGCAUCAAGUUGUUUUCAGUUUUUGGUUUUGUUUCUAUUUAGUGCUUAUUGCUGCACAGGAUAAUAUCACUGACCAUACCGAAGUUGAAGCAUUAAAAGUCAUAAAAGAAAGGUUGAUUGAUCCUAAUGGAAAUUUGAGCAAUUGGAUACGCGGAGACCCAUGUACAUCUCGCUGGACAGGAGUUUUAUGUUUCAAUGAAAAUAUUAAUUGAUGGCUAUUUACACGUUCAAGAAUUGCAACUAAUGAAUUUGAGCUUGUCCGGAAAUUUGGUACCAGAAAUUGGCAGCUUAGCUUAUAUGGAAAGAUUGAACUUCAUGUGGAACAAAAUAAUUGGGAGUAUUCCAAAGGAAAUUGGCAAUAUCAAAUCUCUAGUCCUCCUGCUAUUAAAU
This is a long non-coding RNA of Lathyrus oleraceus (garden pea), 2407 nucleotides long. RefSeq lists it as uncharacterized. The transcript has 3 exons. The record is from RefSeq and is a predicted model, not a curated record. Lineage: Eukaryota; Viridiplantae; Streptophyta; Magnoliopsida; Fabales; Fabaceae.